AUGGCGGGAGACGGCGAGCUGAAGCUGCUGGGCGUGUGGACGAGCCCGUUCGUCAUCAGGGUGCGCGUGGUGCUCAACCUCAAGUCGCUGCCGUACGAGUACGUGGAGGAGAGCCUUGGCAGCAAGAGCGCGCUCCUCCUGGGCUCCAACCCGGUGCACCAUAGCGUGCCCGUCCUCCUCCACGGCGGCCGCCCCGUGAACGAGUCCCAGGUCAUCGUGCAGUACAUCGACGAGGUCUGGUCCGGGGCCGGCCCGUCCGUGCUCCCGGCCGACCCCUACGAGCGCGCCGUGGCGCGCUUCUGGGCGGCGUACGUCGACGACAAGGUCGGGCCGGCGUGGACGGGGAUGCUCUUCUCGUGCAACACGGAGGAGGAGAGGGCGGAGGCCGUGUCCCGCGCCGUGGCGGCGCUGGAGACCCUGGAGGGCGCGUUCGCGGAAUGCUCCAAGGGGAAGGCGUUCUUCGGCGGCGACGCCAUCGGAUUCGUCGACGUGGUGCUCGGCGGCUACCUCGGCUGGUUCGGGGCGAUCGACAAGAUCAUCGGGCGCCGGCUGAUCGACCCGGCGAGGACGCCGCUGCUGGCCCGGUGGGAGGAGCGGUUCCGCGCGGCGGACGCGGCCAAGGGCGUCGUGCCGGACGACGCCGACAAGAUGCUCGAGUUCUUGCCCACCGUGCUCGCUUGGGUCGCCGCCAAAGCCAAGUGA
This 702-nucleotide ribosomal RNA is filed under the name Triticum aestivum (bread wheat). RNAcentral describes it as "partial small subunit ribosomal RNA". The record is from RNAcentral. Lineage: Eukaryota; Viridiplantae; Streptophyta; Magnoliopsida; Poales; Poaceae.